UACGGAGGGGGCUAGCGUUGUUCGGAAUUGCUGGGCGUAAAGCGCACGUAGGCGGCUUUGUAAGUUAGAGGUGAAAGCCCAGGGCUUAACCCUGGAAUUGCCUUUAAGACUGCAUCGCUAGAAUUGUGGAGAGGUGAGUGGAAUUCCGAGUGUAGAGGUGAAAUUCGUAGAUAUUCGGAAGAACACCAGUGGCGAAGGCGGCUCUCUGGGACGGUACUGACGCUGAGACGCGAAAGCGUGGGGAGCGAACAGG
This 253-nucleotide ribosomal RNA is filed under the name uncultured bacterium. Its description in RNAcentral is "partial 16S ribosomal RNA". It matches the Rfam family "Bacterial small subunit ribosomal RNA", at positions 524 to 776 of the family's 1533-position model. The record is from RNAcentral.